UUGGUGAGGUAAUGGCUCACCAAGUCGGCGAUCCAUAGCUGGUUUGAGAGGAUGAUCAGCCACACUGGGACUGAGACACGGCCCAGACUCCUACGGGAGGCAGCAGUGGGGAAUCUUGGGCAAUGGGCGCAAGCCUGACCCAGCCAUGCCGCGUGUGCGAAGAAGGCCCUAGGGUUGUAAAGCACUUUCAGUCGCGAAGAAAAGCUUGAAGUUAAUACCUUCAGGUCUUGACGUUAACGACAGAAGAAGAUCCGGCUAACUCCGUGCCAGCAGCCGCGGUAAUACGGAGGG
This 291-nucleotide ribosomal RNA is filed under the name Prasinoderma singulare. RNAcentral describes it as "partial Bacterial small subunit ribosomal RNA". It matches the Rfam family "Bacterial small subunit ribosomal RNA", at positions 249 to 532 of the family's 1533-position model. The record is from RNAcentral. Lineage: Eukaryota; Viridiplantae; Prasinodermophyta; Prasinodermophyceae; Prasinodermales; Prasinodermaceae.